GUGCUUGCUUCGGCAGCACAUAUACUAAAACUGGAACGAUACAGAGAAGGUUAGCCUGGUGCCUGCACAAGGGUGACACCCAAAUUCAUGUAGCGUUCCCUAUUUUU
Rhinolophus ferrumequinum (greater horseshoe bat) is the source of this 107-nucleotide small nuclear RNA. NCBI's taxonomy places the organism in Eukaryota, Metazoa, Chordata, Mammalia, Chiroptera, Rhinolophidae. The record is from Ensembl.